This 255-nucleotide ribosomal RNA is filed under the name uncultured bacterium. RNAcentral describes it as "partial 16S ribosomal RNA". It matches the Rfam family "Bacterial small subunit ribosomal RNA", at positions 524 to 776 of the family's 1533-position model. The record is from RNAcentral.
UACGUAGGGGGCGAGCGUUGUCCGAAUUUACUGGGCGUAAAGCGCGCGUAGGCGGCUUUUUAAGUCUGGUGUGAAAGGUUCAGGGCUCAACCCGAACAGUGCACUGGAUACUGGAUGGCUUGAGUUUGGGAGAGGGAUGCGGAAUUCCAGGUGUAGCGGUGAAAUGCGUAGAUAUCUGGAGGAACACCGGUGGCGAAGGCGGCAUCCUGGACCAACACUGACGCUGAGUGAGCGAAAGCCAGGGGAGCAAACGGG